This 1038-nucleotide unclassified non-coding RNA is filed under the name Leishmania donovani. RNAcentral describes it as "gene:LdHU3.28.3910(CDS-product:hypothetical_prote in_conserved)". The record is from RNAcentral. Lineage: Eukaryota; Euglenozoa; Kinetoplastea; Trypanosomatida; Trypanosomatidae.
UUCUGCUGUCGCCGACUGGAGCCAGCAGGCACAUACACGCACGCGCGCACGCACAUGCACACACGGACCAGCACACUUAUACGAAUGAACUCUACAAAGGAGAAGGUUACAAUCAACUUCAACACAUCACGCUUCGGUGUGAAGGUGGCCGACGGCAGCUUCGACCCCGACACAACGAUCGGCGAGGUCCACGCAAGGCUGCGCAAGAAGCUUGUCAAGGCGAAGGCAAUGACGGUACCGGUGGCCAGUGGAGGAUUGGAGGGGGCGGCAGCGAUCGGCAACUGCACCGCCACAAGUGGCUCCGGCGCCACCUUCAUUUUCGUGCGCAACGGCACUGAAGCCUUCAUACCCGCACCGGAGCAAACCUUGCAGACUCUGCUGGACAUGUAUGCGACCGCCCCGGAGGCACGCAGGCUCUACGUCACCAUAGACCCCGAAGUUUUCAGCGGGUAAUCACAGCGCGUCAGCAGGGGGCACGCGACACGCCUUUUGCCCUCCGCCCUGAUGUGGUGAGCACCUGUCAUGGCGUAGUGUGGGUGCGCCUCAGAUUUGUCUGCUGCCGGCUGCUCUCGUCUCCCAUGCUGCUGCUUCGAGCAUCGUCGGCGUUUCUGCUGCCGCCGAGCAGAAGCGUCAUCCUACCUCUGUGUGUGUGACAGGGGUGCGCGCCCGGCCACUGUGUACGUCGCCCCUCCUCUCCCAUCCCCACGGUUUCACUUGCUCGACUGAGCGGCUUGCGUGGUAUCACGGUAAAGGCUCAGAGGUGCCACAUGAACCCCUCUCCCGGAGCAACAGCCGUCAACGCAGCAUCUCUAUUUGGACUUGUGCAAGGGAAGCGCCCGUUGUAUUCCUGCGAGGUGUCUCCCUGUAGAGCGUGUAUGUGCCGGCGUCAGUGGCAGUCGCCGUGCGCCUUCUCCAUUGAUGUGUCGCUCGUCAUGUGCACCCUUCCCUGCCUGUGGCUGUUGAGCGAAAGAUGCACGCGCGCACUUCAUCUCGCUUUCUUCUGCUCCGCUCUGCCUCCUCUCGCCGUCGCCCAACCAG